GACAUCAAUCUCAUUGAUAUCUUAUCAUCUACUAUAUUAUCAAUUAUUUCAUUGUUUUAUAGUUUUCCUUAGCAAAUAUCUUUCACAGCCAAUUUGUAGUUUUAUCAGAAAUUUAUAGUUUUGAGCAUUAAUUUUAUUUUCUCAAAUACUAUUUCUUAAAGGAGGAGCAAGUACAGGAGCCAAAUAAGGACCAAGUUGUCGACGAACUUCAGAUAACAACUUUUCAAGUUCCUGCGUAUGAGAAGCGAGUACAAAAUACGGAUAAUGACCAAGUUGUUGACCAACUUGUGA
RNAcentral lists this long non-coding RNA (291 nucleotides) under Helianthus annuus (common sunflower). Its description in RNAcentral is "sRNA HanXRQr2_Chr11g0518591". Lineage: Eukaryota; Viridiplantae; Streptophyta; Magnoliopsida; Asterales; Asteraceae. The record is from RNAcentral.